RNAcentral lists this transfer RNA (72 nucleotides) under Eschrichtius robustus (grey whale). RNAcentral describes it as "tRNA-Ala". Lineage: Eukaryota; Metazoa; Chordata; Mammalia; Artiodactyla; Eschrichtiidae. The record is from RNAcentral.
UGGAGGUGCUGGGGAUUGAACCCAGGGCCUCGUGCAUGCUAAGCACGCGCUCUACCACUGAGCUACACCCCC